AACGAACGCUGGCGGCAGGCCUAACACAUGCAAGUCGAGCGCACCUUCGGGUGAGCGGCGGACGGGUUAGUAACGCGUGGGAAUAUGCCCAGAUCUACGGAAUAGCCUCGGGAAACUGAGAGUAAUACCGUAUACGCCCUUCGGGGGAAAGAUUUAUCGGAUUUGGAUUAGCCCGCGUUGGAUUAGGUAGUUGGUGGGGUAAUGGCCUACCAAGCCGACGAUCCAUAGCUGGUUUGAGAGGAUGAUCAGCAACACUGGGACUGAGACACGGCCCAGACUCCUACGGGAGGCAGCAGUGGGGAAUCUUAGACAAUGGGGGAAACCCUGAUCUAGCCAUGCCGCGUGAGUGACGAAGGCCCUAGGGUCGUAAAGCUCUUUCGCCAGGGAAGAUAAUGACGGUACCUGGUAAAGAAACCCCGGCUAACUCCGUG
RNAcentral lists this ribosomal RNA (431 nucleotides) under uncultured Alphaproteobacteria bacterium. Its description in RNAcentral is "bacterial SSU rRNA". It matches the Rfam family "Bacterial small subunit ribosomal RNA", at positions 29 to 507 of the family's 1533-position model. Lineage: Bacteria; Pseudomonadati; Pseudomonadota; Alphaproteobacteria. The record is from RNAcentral.